Long non-coding RNA from Anthonomus grandis grandis, 570 nucleotides. RefSeq lists it as uncharacterized. The record is from RefSeq and is a predicted model, not a curated record. The transcript is spliced from 2 exons. NCBI's taxonomy places the organism in Eukaryota, Metazoa, Arthropoda, Insecta, Coleoptera, Curculionidae.
CAGUUCGAUCGCAGCCAGUCAUCGUGUCAAAACAAUUUUUAUUGGGCUGGGGUUCCAUAAACCCCACCGCACCGAUCGCGAAUUUUUUUUGCACUGCGCAGUUAUUUAUCUUUUGUUGAUUUUUGAGCAGAAACCAAACAAAAUGGGUAGUAAAUCCUAUGAGAAAGAGCAGGAAUUGUUACAGAAAUACAUGGAUGAGAUUCACGCUGAGCUAAAUGAAGAACACGCAGAUCAAAUUAAUGAAGGAUCAUUAGGAGACAGCGACUCUGAUCGAUCAUCAAAUGAUGAAGAUUAUUUAGAAGAAUCAGAACACCUUACAGAUAGCGAGCAAAGUGCCAAUGAGGAAGACGAUACAGUGGAGAAUGAAGAAUUAGAAGACCAACCUUCUACAAGUACGUCAAAAAAAUACUUUAUAGGAAAAGACGGUAGAACAAAAUGGCUUUCAGAUGUUCCAAAUAUUAAUGUGCGUACAAGAAGUCAUAACUUAGUGACGCAUUUUCCUGGUCCUAAAGGUGACGCGAAAAAUGCAAAGUCAGAAUUAGAGUGCUGGUAUUGCUUUUUUACAACUGA